CCCCGACUCCCCUUCCCUCCAGCACCUAGCCAUGUUUUAAGGAGAGACGGAUAACCUUCUGAGGCCAGGACAGCUCCAUGCGGGCCGGAAUCCUCCCACCUCCUACACUUCUACCCCAGGCUCCCAGGGGCUCCUUCCCUCCCCCUCCUCCAGUGUCCAGGGCACCUCAGCCCCGGUCCCCACACUGGCCUAAGAGCUCAUCGCCAUAUUAAGAAAGGAAAAGGAGAGAUGCCGGAGCUAAAAAUAAGACCAGAUGAGUCGGAGGUAAAUGAAGCUGGGGCUGGGGGAGGGGAGGUAUAAGGGUAAUUAGGGUGGGCCGAGGGUGGGGCAAGGGUAAUUAGAAGUUAAAUGCAGUGGAGAGGAGGAGCUAACUGGGUCAGAGGCUAAAUUGAUAAUAUAGGACAAAAGGGGGACAAAUGUGGUAUUGGCUCUAUGUCCUAAAGCCUGGGAAUCUUCUGUAGGUGAAGUCUGAUUCUGAUUCUUUGAUACUAUGUAGGAGAGUGGGGCGAUAAAAGUGCAAGCCAGGCUGCAGGAAAGAGACCCCCUCCACUUUCUUUUAAAGAACCAGGACCAAGGAUGAGGUCAUUCUCUGAAUAAAAGAUGGAGCCGCGUCCAAGACUGGCAACCUGGCUCAGCUCCAGCCAGUUUCCUUUGCUUCACUCAGCACUCCUAACUUGGGAAUGCAGGGAAGGACAGGGCUGGCCCAGAUCCUGUCCUGUAGAGAUGUGGGUUUGGGGUUUCUCUGCCUAUAAAGCCCACAAUGAGAAGGGGUCUGUCCUUUGGUUGCCACCUGUGUGUGCACUCCCUACCCUGAUCCUAUGGGACUCGGUUUUCUGGGGCACAGUGGGAAGGGAGGUUUUCCCAGGCUGCAUGCUUCCAAGGAGAGUGAAUAGCUACUAUUUAUUCCCAUGUCUUUGACAAGACAAAGAGGAUCAGGUAUUGACACCAGGGCAAAAAAAAAUUAACAUUAGGCAAGCAUGAAGAGGUGAACCCUGUGCCCUGAACCAAGACUGAUGAUUAAUUCUGUGCACCCGAGAUCCAAAGCAGAGAUGGGCGGGUAGGGGCUUAAACUUCUGGAUCCAGCUUGGGGGGUGAGGACAGAGUAGUGAGUUUAACUCUGGAUACGUAGGAAGGAAGGAUCCUCUUCAUGGCCCUCCAGGGUUCUUACUAUGCACAGGUAAACUGAGGCAUGAGGGAGACCAUAGAGGGUCAGAUCAAAGUCACAUGCUGCCACUGCACCCUGAGGUAUCUCUGAUUCUAGAGGGACAGUGGUGUUUUUUUUGUUUUGUUUUGCAUCCAGGGAGGGUCAUGUAAUUAUGUUAGCAGAAUAACUUUUCCACAUGUCUGUGUGGUGGACCUUACACAGCUGAACACGGAAGGCCACAGAAAAUCUCAAAAGCAUGGCAGGAGUGAGGCCAAGAGGGACAGCUGUCACUGUAGCAGGAGAGGUUGGAGCUAGCCUAAGCACAGCACGUUGGAGCUGAAGAGACCUCAGAAGCCCAUAUCCUGGUCUCCCUGAAGAGUGGCUAACGUGGGAAAGCCCCAAGGCCAGAGCAAAGGCAGCCAGUGAUUUUCUUCUGAGCCCGUACAGGCUCAUGGAGGUUGGAUGAUGGGAAAACGGAAAGAGGGGAUGUACACCAACCCCCACCUGAGUCCAGGGUUGAAGUCUCCACCAUGGGCACCCUGCCUCCUCACCCUCCUCCACCCCCGUGACGAUGGAGGCAAAGUUGUCAUCCAGCAGGAUCAUGUCGGCUGCCUGCUUAGAGACGUCAGAGCCAGAGAUGCCCAUGGCAAUGCCAAUGUCAGCCUUCUUCAGCGCAGGGGAGUCGUUCACCCCGUCACCUGUCACGGCCACAACGGCUCCCUGAGGAAGUCCAGACAGAGAGAGUGAACAAUUUAUUGCAUCAGAUCCAGAACUAGUCCCAAAGAUCAGUACGCUUUCUGCAUCCCUUGUUUCCUGAUGUAAUCAUGCUUGAUUUAGGGCUCCCGUCCUUCUCCCACUCCUCCUGAGAUAUUUAAACUUUCAGGGAGCCCCAAACUGAAGGCCACCAUGGAGGUUCCAGAUGGGGUACUCUCUGGAGUCUCCUCUAGCCCAGCCCACAUGUUCCUCUGCUUGGUUUGGGACGGGGCUAAGCCACAGGAGUUCUGCCAGUUUCCUUGGGGCUCCUUUUCGUUCCUUACCAGCCUCUGACAUCCCUCGACAAUGAUGAGCUUCUGCUGAGGGGAGGUCCGAGCAAACACGAUCUCAGGGUGGUUCUGGAGGAUCUGAUCAAGCUGCUUGGACUGUAUGUCCUUCAGUUCUGCACCAUGCACCACAAUGGCUUUGGCAGCACUGAGGGAAAAUAAUUUCAAAAGGCUAGUUUUGAGUGUUGAGAAUUCACCAGGGGUCUUGGUGCCCAUCUUGACUAUAGCUUCAUUGCUUCUUCUUUCAACCUAGUCUCCUCACUUGUCCCUAGCCCUAUAUUGUCCCCAAAUUGACACAUCCUAUUCCCUCCCCACACUUUUGCCAACCACUCCUCUCUUUACCUCUUUCUUCAUCUUGCUUCCUUUGAAAACCCACUGACAUAUUCACUUUAUUUUCCUAUUAUGUUUUACUUUGUAGUGUAAACCCCACACAUCCUACCUAUUGAAGGAGACUCCAAGAACUUUAGUAAAGUGGCAUCUGGGUGGGGCAGGCUGGGGAUGGAGGGAACAUGGCAGAUCUUGAGUUCUUUAGUGAUCUCACCUGGCAUCGACCUUGCUGAUAGGGAUCUUAAGCCGGGCAGCGACUUCCUCUGCCGUCUCAGUGCCUUCUGAGAUGAUGCCCACACCCUUGGCAAUGGCCUUAGCUGUAAUGGGAUGAUCUCCUGUUACCAUGAUCACCUGGGUUGGGAAGGAGAGGGAAGAGGAGCAGAAUCAUCUUCAGAGCCCGGAUCCUUCAUUUUUCUCCUCUGAGAACUGACAGACCACUGCUUUUUUCAACAAGGGUUUUAGUCGCUCAUUCCCAAGAACUUGUGGUGUAGACCAAAAACCAUGCUACUGUGAUUUCAACCCUUGGGAGUGGGUCAAGACCAUGAGACCAUAAAACAGGACAAUUUGGGUCCUAGAUUUACCAGGAAUAAGCCAGAGAUUUGACUAUAUUCAGAAUUUCAUUUAAUUGCUCCAGAAGCUAUUCUGCUUCCUUAAGUGCAAAGACAGAAACACCUACACAUAGAACAAGUGGUAAUAAA
Molecule: long non-coding RNA, 3209 nt
Filed under: Homo sapiens (human)
Lineage: Eukaryota; Metazoa; Chordata; Mammalia; Primates; Hominidae
Description: HSALNT0016268
Source: RNAcentral